Molecule: non-coding RNA, 125 nt
Filed under: Thermus brockianus
Lineage: Bacteria; Thermotogati; Deinococcota; Deinococci; Thermales; Thermaceae
Description: MoCo sequence
Rfam family: Molybdenum/Tungsten riboswitch aptamer (Moco RNA motif)
Source: RNAcentral
AAUGUUCCCCGCCUCCGAGCCCGGAUAGACCCCCUGGGCCUUCCGGGCCGGGCCUUCGGGCCCCGGGGUGGCGGGGGCAACCCCGUCGCCUGCCGCGGUGGCAAAGGAGGUUUCCCUUGCGCUUU